RNAcentral lists this ribosomal RNA (448 nucleotides) under uncultured bacterium. RNAcentral describes it as "SSU rRNA". It matches the Rfam family "Bacterial small subunit ribosomal RNA", at positions 26 to 518 of the family's 1533-position model. The record is from RNAcentral.
AGAACGAACGCUGGCGGCAGGCUUAACACAUGCAAGUCGAACGCUCGUAGCAAUACGGGAGUGGCAGACGGGUGAGUAACGCGUGGGAACAUACCUUUUGGUUCGGAACAACACAGGGAAACUUGUGCUAAUACCGGAUAAGCCCUUACGGGGAAAGAUUUAUCGCCGAAAGAUUGGCCCGCGUCUGAUUAGCUAGUUGGUGAGGUAACGGCUCACCAAGGCGACGAUCAGUAGCUGGUCUGAGAGGAUGAUCAGCCACAUUGGGACUGAGACACGGCCCAAACUCCUACGGGAGGCAGCAGUGGGGAAUAUUGGACAAUGGGCGCAAGCCUGAUCCAGCCAUGCCGCGUGAGUGAUGAAGGCCCUAGGGUUGUAAAGCUCUUUGUGCGGGAAGAUAAUGACGGUACCGCAAGAAUAACGCCCCGGCUAACUUCGUGCCAGCAGCCGC